AUUGAACGCUGGCGGCAUGCUUUACACAUGCAAGUCGAACGGUAACAGGGUGCUUGCACCGCUGACGAGUGGCGAACGGGUGAGUAAUGCGUCGGAACGUGCCGAGUAGUGGGGGAUAACGCAGCGAAAGUUGUGCUAAUACCGCAUACGUACUGAGGUAGAAAGUGGGGGACCUUCGGGCCUCACGCUAUUCGAGCGGCUGACGUCUGAUUAGCUAGUAGGUGAGGUAAAGGCUCACCUAGGCGACGAUCAGUAGCGGGUCUGAGAGGAUGAUCCGCCACACUGGGACUGAGACACGGCCCAGACUCCUACGGGAGGCAGCAGUGGGGAAUUUUGGACAAUGGGCGAAAGCCUGAUCCAGCCAUGCCGCGUGUCUGAAGAAGGCCUUCGGGUUGUAAAGGACUUUUGUCAGGGAGGAAAUCCCUAGUGCUAAUAACACUGGGGGAUGACAGUACCUGAAGAAUAAGCACGGGCUAACUACGUGCCAGCAGCCGCAGUAA
This 500-nucleotide ribosomal RNA is filed under the name uncultured bacterium. RNAcentral describes it as "partial 16S ribosomal RNA". It matches the Rfam family "Bacterial small subunit ribosomal RNA", at positions 30 to 523 of the family's 1533-position model. The record is from RNAcentral.